RNAcentral lists this ribosomal RNA (402 nucleotides) under uncultured bacterium. Its description in RNAcentral is "bacterial SSU rRNA". It matches the Rfam family "Bacterial small subunit ribosomal RNA", at positions 356 to 775 of the family's 1533-position model. The record is from RNAcentral.
GAGGAAUAUUGCACAAUGGCGGAAACUCUGAUGCAGCAACGCCGCGUGGAGGAUGACGCAUUUCGGUGUGUAAACUCCUUUUAAGAGGGAAGAUAAUGACGGUACCUCUUGAGUAAGCACCGGCUAACUCCGUGCCAGCAGCCGCGGUAAUACGGAGGGUGCAAGCGUUACUCGGAAUCACUGGGCGCAAAGGGUGCGUAGGCUGGCUUCUAAGUCAGAUGUGAAAUCCAAUGGCUUAACCAUUGAACUGCAUUUGAAACUGGAAGCCUAGAGUUCAGAAGGGGCAGAUGGAAUUAGUGGUGUAGGGGUAAAAUCCGUAGAUAUCACUAGGAAUAUCAAAAGCGAAGGCGAUCUGCUGGGAUGAUACUGACGCUGAGGCACGAAAGCGUGGGGAGCAAACAG